This 120-nucleotide small nucleolar RNA is filed under the name Echinops telfairi (small Madagascar hedgehog). RNAcentral describes it as "Small nucleolar RNA SNORA61 (ENSETEG00000025439.1)". The record is from RNAcentral. Lineage: Eukaryota; Metazoa; Chordata; Mammalia; Afrosoricida; Tenrecidae.
ACCCUCCAAAUUCUUUACCAUUUAGAUUUAAUAUUGGUCUGAAUGGCUACAGAAGGCGGAAUAGUGAAACUGAAGUGGACUUUUAGUCUUUAGUGACAUAUAAGUACAUUUCAGACAUAC